Molecule: long non-coding RNA, 150 nt
Organism: Bufo bufo (common toad)
Lineage: Eukaryota; Metazoa; Chordata; Amphibia; Anura; Bufonidae
Exons: 3
Source: RefSeq, a predicted model, not a curated record
UCAGCCGCUGGAGAUAAUGACGUUGUCCUGUAAAUAAACAUGCAUGAGGAUCAUAGUAACUUUAUCUGGCAUUGAUCACUGAGCAUGGCUGGAUAAAUUUUGCUCCAGUGGUUAUAGGAUGCAUGUGUUUGUUUUGUCUUGCUAUGUAAU